RNAcentral lists this long non-coding RNA (849 nucleotides) under Zostera marina. RNAcentral describes it as "long non-coding RNA (ZMAR_LNC006070)". The record is from RNAcentral. Lineage: Eukaryota; Viridiplantae; Streptophyta; Magnoliopsida; Alismatales; Zosteraceae.
CCAAAGCCUUGGUUAUUUGCAUCAUCAGAAAAGUUAAUGUACUUAGUGUAGUCGUCAGAAAGAACGUUGGAAGAAUCACCAGCAUUAUCAACCAUUUCCGUACGAGCUCUCUUGCCGCCCCGCUGCGAUCCGGAUCCUGCAAACAAGCCCGACAAACUUUCUCCGUCUGGUUCGCCUGAAAAAGGAAAAAUUAACAAAGUCAAAUGUAAAUUACCAGAGGGGACGAGAUGCGGGUGAACAGAUUUCCAAGUCCCGGCCAUCAAACUAGAAUAAUCGAUAGGAUUCGAACGGACAGAUAGAAGGCGGGAGUACACAUCAUGUUCCUCCAGAGAAAGUUCCCCUACGGAAAGGUUCCCAGCUUCGAAGGAGGAAGUGUUUACCCACUUAGAAGGAACCCCUGACAAUCCUACGGAAAGGCUCUUUACAAAGAAAUAGCGGCUCUUCCACCGAUGCGAACGAUCGGGAUAAGAAUCGAGGAGUUUAUGUCAUAUUCUAGAAGAAACCAAAAGCCGUGCGGAAUUGGGCCGAGAGAUAGAGAAAAAUAGACGGAAAACACGCUCGAAGGGCUUCAAAUCCAGUUCAUAGCACAAAUGUUCGAACGAAACAACACGAUCGAGACUAGAGGGAGAAAGUUGAGAAAUAGCAACACCAGUAUACGAAAGAAAAGACAAGAGGAAGGGAGAGGCGGGAAGCCGAAGCCCUAAGUCCUCAAAACCCGAAUAGAGGGCAGUAUAGCCAUCAGGAGGCGAAGAGGCAGAAGCAUCAUUGGGGAUUUCAAGAUGAGCUAUCGCUACAGAGGGAGCGAUCACCUGGAAAUGACGGUGGGCUUGCCGCCGACUAAGUACGGAG